This is a ribosomal RNA of 563 nucleotides. It matches the Rfam family "Bacterial large subunit ribosomal RNA", at positions 1813 to 2604 of the family's 2925-position model.
ACAUCGCCUCUUGAUAAAAUAUAAGAGGUCCAGCCUGCCCAGUGACAAAAUUUAACGGCCGCGGUACCCUGACCGUGCGAAGGUAGCAUAAUCACUUGUUCUUUAAAUAGGGACUAGUAUCAACGGCAUCACGAGGGUUACACUGUCUCCUUUCUCCAAUCAGUGAAACUGAUCUUCCCGUGAAGAAGCGGGAAUACACCCAUAAGACGAGAAGACCCCAUGGAGCUUUAAAUUUCACAGCAACUCAGUCACAUAAAUCCUUAUAAUUAACAGAGCUAUGCAUGCCAAUUUUAGGUUGGGGUGACCGCGGAGUAUAAGACAACCUCCACAUCGAAAAGAACUAAAUCUUUAUUUAAGAGCUACAACUCUAAAAAUUAGUAUACUAACGAAUAAUGAUCCGAUAAUCGAUCAACGGACCAAGUUACCCUGGGGAUAACAGCGCAAUCUACUUCAAGAGCCCAUAUCGACAAGUAGGCUUACGACCUCGAUGUUGGAUCAGGGUAUCCUAGUGGUGCAGCCGCUACUAAUGGUUCGUUUGUUCAACGAUUAAAACCCUACGUGAU